AACGAACGCUGGCGGCAUGCCUAACACAUGCAAGUCGAACGAGACCCUCGGGUCUUGUGUCGCACGGGUGCGUAACGCGUGGGAACCUGCCCUUAGGUUCGGUAUAACUCCCCGACAGGGGUGCUAAUACCGGAUAAUGUCUUCGGACCAAAGAUUUAUCGCCUUUGGUUGGGCCCGCGUUGGAUUAGCUAGUUGGUAGGGUAAGAGCCUACCAAGGCGACGUUUCAUAGCUGGUCUGAGACGAGGAUCAGCCACCCUGGGACUGAGACACGGCCCAGACUAGUACGGAAGGGUGCAGAAGAGAAUAUAGGAGAAGGGGCGAAAGACUGAUCAAGCAACGCGGCGUGAGUGAUGAAGGCCUUAGGGUUGUAAAGCUAUUUUACACGAGAUGAUAAUGACAGUACCGGGAGAAUAAGCACCGGCUAACUCCGUG
RNAcentral lists this ribosomal RNA (433 nucleotides) under uncultured bacterium. RNAcentral's name for it is "partial 16S ribosomal RNA". It matches the Rfam family "Bacterial small subunit ribosomal RNA", at positions 29 to 507 of the family's 1533-position model. The record is from RNAcentral.